UAGGGAAUAUUGCACAAUGGGGGAAACCCUGAUGCAGCGACGCCGCGUGAGUGAUGAAGGCCUUCGGGUCGUAAAGCUCUGUUCUACGUGACGAAACAAAUGACGGUAGCGUAGAAGAAAGGACCGGCUAACUUCGUGCCAGCAGCCGCGGUAAUACGAGGGGUCCUAGCGUUGUUCGGAAUCAUUGGGCGUAAAGCGUCUGUAGGCGGCUUUGUAAGUCAGGUGUGAAAGCCCCGGGCUCAACCCGGGAAGUGCAUUUGAUACUGCAUAGCUUGAAUGUUGGAGAGGAUAGUAGAAUUCCAGGUGUAGUGGUGAAAUACGUAGAUAUCUGGAGGAAUACCGGUGGCGAAGGCGGCUAUCUGGCCAAACAUUGACGCUGAGAGACGAAAGUGCGGGGAUCAAACAGGAUUAGAUACCCCCGUAGUCC
Molecule: ribosomal RNA, 427 nt
Filed under: uncultured bacterium
Lineage: Bacteria
Description: bacterial SSU rRNA
Rfam family: Bacterial small subunit ribosomal RNA
Source: RNAcentral